Molecule: ribosomal RNA, 478 nt
Filed under: uncultured anaerobic ammonium-oxidizing bacterium
Lineage: Bacteria
Description: bacterial SSU rRNA
Rfam family: Bacterial small subunit ribosomal RNA
Source: RNAcentral
UUCGCAAUGCCCGAAAGGGUGACGAAGCGACGCCGCGUGGGUGAGGAAGGCCUUCGGGUUGUAAAGCCCUGUCAGGAGUUAAGAAAUGUAAGUGCGCUAAUAUCGCAUUUAUUUGACAAAGGCUCCAAAGGAAGCCACGGCUAACUCUGUGCCAGCAGCCGCGGUAAUACAGAGGUGGCAAGCGUUGUUCGGAAUUAUUGGGCGUAAAGAGCACGUAGGUGGGUUUGUAAGUCAGAUGUGAAAGCCUUCUGUUCAACGGAAGAAUUGCAUCUGAAACUACAAGUCUUGAGUGUAGGAGGGGAGAAUGGAACUUCUGGUGGAGCGGUGAAAUGCGUAGAUAUCAGAAGGAACGCCGGCGGCGAAAGCGAUUCUCUGGCCUAUUACUGACACUCAGUGUGCGAAAGCUAGGGGAGCAAACGGGAUUAGAUACCCCGGUAGUCCUAGCCGUAAACGAUGGGCACUAAGUAGAGGGGUUUUA